GGAAAAACCACUUUAGUCCAUUAAUCUACACAGAAAAACAUCACUUUUAAGCGAACUGCUUUAUUUGGUCCCAGAAAAGCAGAGUUUUCACCCUUGUUCUCCUGAUUUGUAGCUCAAAUACCUUCAUGGCAAUGUUAAACUACAGGAGCAGCCAGUUAAAGAUAACUUCAGGAGAAUUGAAGAAAACCAACCGUUUAAAGAGUUAAAACUCAUUUAAACCUUCAGUAAAGUUCAAGUCAGACAAACUCAGAUUCAUGGUUUACUUUGGUCACAAUUCCAGUUUACUAGAUCAGCUGAGAACAGAACUCCAACCAAGGAAGGAGAGGUCUAGGGUUUAAUGGUCAGAACAAAUUCAGUAGAACUACUCAUCUACACAAGACGCUUUAGAGUCACUUUACUGUCAGGUUCUUCACUAUAGCUGCAUUUGGUCCCAGACACGGUGUCAUUUGUUCCAGGUCAUCCUCCAUUUUCUUACCUCUGAGCUGAUAAGAUGCAGGAGAAACACCUGAGAGACUUUAAACUACAGCAGCCAGAAUUAUUGGAACGGCUGCUUGAUAGUUUAAGAAAACCAGCUGUUUAAAGUCAAACUAAACCAGUUUAAAUCAAUGGCGUUAAAGUCAAGCACAGAUACUCAGAUUCAUGUUUACUUAAGGUUUAUUAAAGGUUACGUCGUAGUUUCUUGGAGGUUCUGCUGAUCAGUUCCACCUGCAGAAACAAAGAAACACAGCAGUUAGUCCCUGAACCAGCAGCUUCUUCUACACUCCAUGUUCCAGCUGCUUCUUACCUCCUUAGACCUUGGUUCCGGUUCCAGGUCCAGGUCCUUGGCUGGGAUCUCCUGGGUUCACCGGAGAGAAAAACGGGCCAAAGUCAUCUGGGGAGUAUUUAGAGUGGGAGAGGAGUUCUCUGGCUCGCUGGUAGCCGUUACUAGACUGGACGAUGUAGGACGUAGGACCACGAACAACCAAUGGGAAGGGGUCGGUGGGAAUGUUAUCAGGGAUCCAGACUGAGGGGUCUGGGAGACGGACAAACCUUGGUCUCAAGUCAUUUAUAUCGUAGGAGAACCCCUGUGGGUAGUUAAUCAAAGGAGUAAAUCCUGCAGAUCCAAAGGGCAAAGAACUGCUGAAGAAACCAGAGCCUCCUGAACCACCAGAUCCUCCAGAACCACCAGAUCCCCCAGAACCACCAGCACCAGCUCCUCCACCAGCUCCUCCAGUUCCUCCACCAGCUCCUCCAGAACCUGUUUGACCUGAAUCCAGACACAAACCAACAUGUUCACGGCUCUGAUCCACUCAUGUGGACACCAGCAGCUAAAUAAAUCCACAUCCAGCUGCUGGAGCUGCCUUCAGACACGUUGGGCUUCAUUUAAAGCUGCUUCAGGUCAACAUGUCUGCAGACUCACCUUUAAUUAGAAAAGGGUAACAAGCUCCAGAGCUGAGGAGCAGGAAGCAGAUCCAGAAGACCCUGUGGAGAGCAGAAAGCAGCCUGUAAAUAGCAGCACAUGGAAGCCCACCUGCAGCAUGAAGCGCAGCAGCUCACCUGAGAACAGAUUCCAGCAGCAUGUCCAGCUGUGAGAAGAAGCCGAGGCCACAGAGUUCAGCUCCAGCAGCCUCCUCACUGCUGAUCAACCUGCUGGAGCUGAACUCUGUGGCCUCGGCUUCUUCUCACAGCUGGACAUGCUGCUGGAAUCUGUUCUCAGGGUCUCCUGGAUCUGCUUCCUGCUCCUCAGCUCUGGAGCUUGUUACCCUUUUCUAAGUAAAGGUCAAACAGGUUCUGGAGGAGCUGGUGGAGGAACUGGAGGAGGAGCUGGCUCUGGUGGUUCUGGGGGAUUUGGUGGUUCUGGAGGCUCUGGGGGAUCUGGUGGUUCAGGAGGCUCUGGUUUCUUCAGCAGUUCUUUGCCCUUUGGAUCUGCAGGAUUUACUCCUUUGAUUAACUACCCACAGGGGUUCUCCUACGAUAUAAAUGACUUGAGACCAAGGUUUGUCCGUCUCCCAGACCCCUCAGUCUGGAUCCCUGAUAACAUUCCCACAGACCCCUUCCCAUUGGUUGUUCGUGGUCCUACGUCCUACAUCGUCCAGUCCAGUAACGGCUACCAGCGAGCCAGAGAACUCCUCUCCCACUCUAAAUACUCCCCAGAUGACUUUGGCCCGUUUUUCUCUCCAGUGAACCCAGGAGAUCCCAGCCAAGGACCUGGAACAGGAACUGGAACCAAGGUCUAAGGAGCUGAACUCUGUGGCCUCGGCUUCUUCUCACAGCUGGACAUGCUGCUGGAAUCUGUUCUCAGGGUCUCCUGGAUCUGCUUCCUGCUCCUCAGCUCUGGAGCUUGUUACCCUUUUCUAAGUAAAGGUCAAACAGGUUCUGGAGGAGCUGGUGGAGGAACUGGAGGAGGAGCUGGCUCUGGUGGUUCUGGGGGAUCUGGUGGUUCUGGAGGCUCUGGGGGAUCUGGUGGUUCAGGAGGCUCUGGUUUCUUCAGCAGUUCUUUGCCCUUUGGAUUUGCAGGAUUUACUCCUUUGAUUAACUACCCACAGGGGUUCUCCUACGAUAUAAAUGACUUGAGACCAAGGUUUGUCCGUCUCCCAGACCCCUCAGUCUGGAUCCCUGAUAACAUUCCCACCGACCCCUUCCCAUUGGUUGUUCGUGGUCCUACGUCCUACAUCGUCCAGUCCAGUAAUGGCUACCAGCGAGCCAGAGAACUCCUCUCCCACUCUAAAUACUCCCCAGAUGACUUUGGCCCGUUUUUCUCUCCGGUGAACCCGGGAGAUCCCAGCCAAGGACCUGGAACAGGAACUGGAACCAAGGUCUAAGGAGGUGGAACUGAUCAGCAGAACCUCCAAGAAACUACAAAGUGAUCUUUAAUAAACCUAAAGUAAACCAUGAAUCUGAGUUUGUCUGA
Long non-coding RNA from Amphiprion ocellaris (clown anemonefish), 2890 nucleotides. NCBI's taxonomy places the organism in Eukaryota, Metazoa, Chordata, Actinopteri, Pomacentridae. The record is from Ensembl.